ACGGGAGGCAGCAGUGAGGAAUAUUGGUCAAUGGGCGGAAGCCUGAACCAGCCAAGUCGCGUGAGGGAAGACGGCCCUACGGGUUGUAAACCUCUUUUGCGCGGGGGUAAAGUCGGGGACGUGUCCCCGAUUGCAAGUACCGCGCGAAUAAGGAUCGGCUAACUCCGUGCCAGCAGCCGCGGUAAUACGGAGGAUCCGAGUGUUAUCCGGAUUUAUUGGGUUUAAAGGGUGCGUAGGCGGGACGUCAAGUCAGUGGUGAAAUGGUGCGGCUCAACCGUAGCAUCGCCGUUGAAACUGGGGUCCUUGAGUGCGAAUGAGGUACGCGGAACGUGUCAUGUAGCGGUGAAAUGCAUAGAUAUGACACAGAACACCGAUUGCGAAGGCAGGAUACCAUACCAUAUCUGACGCUCAGGCACGAAAGCGUGGGGAUCGAACAGGAUUAGAUACCCUGGUA
RNAcentral lists this ribosomal RNA (454 nucleotides) under uncultured Porphyromonadaceae bacterium. RNAcentral describes it as "bacterial SSU rRNA". It matches the Rfam family "Bacterial small subunit ribosomal RNA", at positions 341 to 792 of the family's 1533-position model. Lineage: Bacteria; Pseudomonadati; Bacteroidota; Bacteroidia; Bacteroidales; Porphyromonadaceae. The record is from RNAcentral.